CUGACACUGAGAAGCGAAAGCAUGGGUAGCGAACAGGAUUAGAUACCCUGGUAGUCCAUGCCGUAAACGUUGGGCACUAGGUGUGGGGGACAUUCCACGUUUUCCGCGCCGUAGCUAACGCAUUAAGUGCCCCGCCUGGGGAGUACGGCCGCAAGGCUAAAACUCAAAGGAAUUGACGGGGGCCCGCACAAGCGGCGGAGCAUGCUGAUUAAUUCGAUGCAACGCGAAGAACCUUACCAAGGCUUGACAUGCACUGGACGGCUGCAGAGAUGUGGCUUUCUUUGGACUGGUGCACAGGUGGUGCAUGGUUGUCGUCAGCUCGUGUCGUGAGAUGUUGGGUUAAGUCCCGCAACGAGCGCAACCCUUGUUCUAUGUUGCCAGCACGUGAUGGUGGGGACUCAUAGGAGACUGCCGGGGUCAACUCGGAGGAAGGUGGGGACGACGUCAAAUCAUCAUGCCCCUUAUGUCUUGGGCUUCAAGCAUGCUACAAUGGUCGGUACAAUGGGUUGCGAAACU
This 516-nucleotide ribosomal RNA is filed under the name Lonsdalea populi. RNAcentral's name for it is "bacterial SSU rRNA". It matches the Rfam family "Bacterial small subunit ribosomal RNA", at positions 740 to 1256 of the family's 1533-position model. The record is from RNAcentral. Lineage: Bacteria; Pseudomonadati; Pseudomonadota; Gammaproteobacteria; Enterobacterales; Pectobacteriaceae.